Molecule: non-coding RNA, 73 nt
Organism: Podarcis lilfordi (Lilford's wall lizard)
Lineage: Eukaryota; Metazoa; Chordata; Lepidosauria; Squamata; Lacertidae
Source: the annotation of a GenBank genome assembly
GCUGGGAUAGCUCAGUCAGUAGAGCAUGAGACUCUACAUCUCAGGGUCAUGGGUAGAAGCCCAACCUUGGGCA